Long non-coding RNA from Carassius carassius (crucian carp), 264 nucleotides. RefSeq lists it as uncharacterized. The record is from RefSeq and is a predicted model, not a curated record. NCBI's taxonomy places the organism in Eukaryota, Metazoa, Chordata, Actinopteri, Cypriniformes, Cyprinidae. The transcript is spliced from 2 exons.
CAUUCUUCAUUAAAUUGUUCUAAUAAUUUGAAACCUUUUCUGUAUUUUUGGUCAAGGUGCACAAGUCUUCUUGGCCGGGUCAUCUCUAAAUGGCUUUGGUAUUCGCAGCAGUGAUGCUGAUCUUUGUCUUGUCAUUGAAGAGGGAACAGUAAACCACAGAACAGAUGCUGUAUAUGUAUAUGUAUAUGUAAGUCUUGUGCGGAAAUUGUUUUACACAGUGUGUAAGUGAUCUGCCGUACAUACAUCAUUAAACAUACAGAAGUU